This 1109-nucleotide ribosomal RNA is filed under the name Escherichia albertii. RNAcentral describes it as "bacterial SSU rRNA". It matches the Rfam family "Bacterial small subunit ribosomal RNA", at positions 1 to 1099 of the family's 1533-position model. Lineage: Bacteria; Pseudomonadati; Pseudomonadota; Gammaproteobacteria; Enterobacterales; Enterobacteriaceae. The record is from RNAcentral.
AAAUUGAAGAGUUUGAUCAUGGCUCAGAUUGAACGCUGGCGGCAGGCCUAACACAUGCAAGUCGAACGGUAACAGGAAGAAGCUUGCUUCUUUGCUGACGAGUGGCGGACGGGUGAGUAAUGUCUGGGAAACUGCCCGAUGGAGGGGGAUAACUACUGGAAACGGUAGCUAAUACCGCAUAACGUCGCAAGACCAAAGAGGGGGACCUUCGGGCCUCUUGCCAUCGGAUGUGCCCAGAUGGGAUUAGCUUGUUGGUGAGGUAACGGCUCACCAAGGCGACGAUCCCUAGCUGGUCUGAGAGGAUGACCAGCCACACUGGAACUGAGACACGGUCCAGACUCCUACGGGAGGCAGCAGUGGGGAAUAUUGCACAAUGGGCGCAAGCCUGAUGCAGCCAUGCCGCGUGUAUGAAGAAGGCCUUCGGGUUGUAAAGUACUUUCAGCGGGGAGGAAGGGAGUAAAGUUAAUACCUUUGCUCAUUGACGUUACCCGCAGAAGAAGCACCGGCUAACUCCGUGCCAGCAGCCGCGGUAAUACGGAGGGUGCAAGCGUUAAUCGGAAUUACUGGGCGUAAAGCGCACGCAGGCGGUUGAUUAAGUCAGAUGUGAAAUCCCCGGGCUCAACCUGGGAACUGCAUCUGAUACUGGUCAGCUUGAGUCUCGUAGAGGGGGGUAGAAUUCCAGGUGUAGCGGUGAAAUGCGUAGAGAUCUGGAGGAAUACCGGUGGCGAAGGCGGCCCCCUGGACGAAGACUGACGCUCAGGUGCGAAAGCGUGGGGAGCAAACAGGAUUAGAUACCCUGGUAGUCCACGCCGUAAACGAUGUCGACUUGGAGGUUGUGCCCUUGAGGCGUGGCUUCCGGAGCUAACGCGUUAAGUCGACCGCCUGGGGAGUACGGCCGCAAGGUUAAAACUCAAAUGAAUUGACGGGGGCCCGCACAAGCGGUGGAGCAUGUGGUUUAAUUCGAUGCAACGCGAAGAACCUUACCUGGUCUUGACAUCCACGGAAGUUUUCAGAGAUGAGAAUGUGCCUUCGGGAACCGUGAGACAGGUGCUGCAUGGCUGUCGUCAGCUCGUGUUGUGAAAUGUUGGGUUAAGUCCCGCAACGAGCGC